RNAcentral lists this long non-coding RNA (1094 nucleotides) under Panax ginseng (ginseng). RNAcentral's name for it is "long non-coding RNA (PGIN_LNC000518)". Lineage: Eukaryota; Viridiplantae; Streptophyta; Magnoliopsida; Apiales; Araliaceae. The record is from RNAcentral.
CUUCAAUCUCUAAGUAUUCUGCUCGAAUCAAGCUCUCUAGUCCGUGUAGCUCACUGCUCUUGAUGCUCCAAAGAAACCCAUACUUCUCCCUAAUUUAAGCUAACUAUAUUUACAAACAAUUAUCAAAGAGAAAGCAAGAGAAAUUCCAAAGAAAAACUAAUCUAAGCUAAAAGCUAUUUUAGUCUAAGGUUUCAUGAUUUUUUGUAUGCAGAGCCUCUCUUUUCUUUUAUAUCCCCAGCUCUCCCUCUUUUACUAGGUCAAGAAUCAUUUGUCUCUACCUGGGCACCGGAGCUCGUGCUGCGGCGCGGGCAAUAGACUUGAGGUUGGUGUUGCGGCGCCAUGUAAGCUAAGAAAAAUCGGAGCUCACGCUGCAGCGCGAGCCCAAGAAGGAACAGUGGCGAUGCGGCGCGGUGAUGAUGUGAGCAAGGACCAGGGGGUGGCACUGCGGCACGGCAAAUAAGCUUGGCAUUGGCGCCGCGGCGCGAGUGUAUAGAUUUUACCAUUUUUCCCCUUUAAAGCUGGAAAAUCACUAUCAAGCUCUGCAAUGCAUCAAUUAAGCAUGAUAACACUAUAAUCAUAUAAAACCGUAUACAAUCUAUGAGAACAAGCAACUAUUUAAAUCAUAAAGUAUCCCAUUCGCGGGUAUAAAUUCCACUCAUUAGUCAACUUUCCUGGCAGGGAUUGGAGAUCCAUUCGCUAUAUUGCCGUGUACAAGGCUUAGCUCAACCUACAGCUUCAUUACUCAUGCUCCAGGCAUGGAUUAUCUUCCUCUAGCUGGUUUGAGAGGGAUGAUCACCUACCACCCACUGGCCGUGAUGUGUUAGUUUGACCAGUUUCAGGAUCUCCACCCAUAUGAGGGGGUAGUGAUUCAGCGCUUCACUUCUUUCCAUUUAUCGUCAGCGGACAGAUCCAGGUUGUAUGCCUGUUGGGAUCAGCGAGAGCUAGCUGAGUUUUCUGUCAGUCAUCCGGGUUAUUCUACAGAGUAUUCAGCAUCGAUAGAGACAGAGACUGCAUCGACUAUGGUAGUAUCCACAGUGCAGGAGAUUGAUUUCAAUGAUGAGGAGCCUAUGGAGGAGGCUGACAUUCACAUCGAU